AUCCUUCGGUUCAUAAGCGUGAUGACUGGGUGUUCACGCUCUUGUGUGAGAUGUGCCUCCCUCUAAACCUUGUUACGACAUCAGCACAUUACCCAUCUGACG
RNAcentral lists this small nucleolar RNA (102 nucleotides) under Spermophilus dauricus (Daurian ground squirrel). RNAcentral describes it as "Small nucleolar RNA U13 (ENSSDAG00000013424.1)". It matches the Rfam family "Small nucleolar RNA U13". Lineage: Eukaryota; Metazoa; Chordata; Mammalia; Rodentia; Sciuridae. The record is from Rfam by way of RNAcentral.